GACGAACGCUGGCGGCGCGCCUAACACAUGCAAGUCGAACGAGCGAGAGAGAGCUUGCUUUCUCAAGCGAGUGGCGAACGGGUGAGUAACGCGUGAGGAACCUGCCUCAAAGAGGGGGACAACAGUUGGAAACGACUGCUAAUACCGCAUAAGCCCACAGCUCGGCAUCGAGCAGAGGGAAAAGGAGUGAUCCGCUUUGAGAUGGCCUCGCGUCCGAUUAGCUAGUUGGUGAGAUAACAGCCCACCAAGGCGACGAUCAGUAGCCGACCUGAGAGGGUGAUCGGCCACAUUGGGACUGAGACACGGCCCAA
Molecule: ribosomal RNA, 311 nt
Filed under: uncultured bacterium
Lineage: Bacteria
Description: bacterial SSU rRNA
Rfam family: Bacterial small subunit ribosomal RNA
Source: RNAcentral